Long non-coding RNA from Haliotis rubra (blacklip abalone), 3704 nucleotides. RefSeq lists it as uncharacterized. The record is from RefSeq and is a predicted model, not a curated record. The transcript is spliced from 2 exons. Lineage: Eukaryota; Metazoa; Mollusca; Gastropoda; Lepetellida; Haliotidae.
CUCUGUAAGAUGGAAUGCAACAGUUUUAACUCUCUGUAAGAUGGAAUGCAACAGUUUUAACUCUCUGUAAGAUGGAAUGCAACAGUUGUAACUCUCUGUAAGAUGGAAUGCAUCAGUUUUAACUCUCUGUAAGAUGGAAUGCAACAGUUGUAACUCUCUGUAAGAUGGAAUGCAACAGUUUUAACUCUCUGUAAGAUGGAAUGCAACAGUUUUAACGUUUUGAAAGAUGGAAUAAAACAGUUUGAACGCCAUGUAAGAUGGACCACAGCAAUGUUAGUACACAGUAAAAAAAAACUGUUAACGUUCGAUAACAUAGAAAAUAUGAGUUAUUGCUAGCAUAUUGGACAACUGGCAUGCAUGUCCAUGUCUGCUUGAAACGCGAAUAAAACUGUCAACUUCUGAUGAGAGAGAGUAUGUUUUGCUUAUAGCACUGAGGACAAUGUCAGUCUGAAAACGAGAAACAGAAGUUUGACCCUAUGUAACUCUGUACAGGAACAGCGUGCAUCUAGGAUGUUGACAGGAACGGAAGCAGAAACUUCAUAAUUUUACAUGUGAAUAGAAAGUGUAAAUGAUGUUUGCAGGAACGGAAGCAGAAACUUCAUAAUUUUACAUGUGAAUAGAAAGUGCAAAUGAUGUUUACAGGAGUGGAAGUAGACACUUCAUAAUUUUACAUGUGAAUAGAAAGUGCAAAUGAUGUUUACAGGAGUGGAAGUAGACACUUCAUAAUUUAACAUGUGAAUAGAAAGUGCAAAUGAUAUUUACAGGAGCGGAAGUAGACACUUCAUAAUUUUACAUGUGAAUAGAAAGUGUAAUUGAUGAUUGCAGGAAAGGACACUUCAUAAUUCUACAUGUGAACAAAAUUAUGUAAAUAAUGUUUACAGUAAAGGAUGGAGACACUCAUUAUUCUACAUGUAAACAAAAUUAUGUAAAUAAUGUUUACAGGAACGGAAGGAGAGACUCCUUAAUUCUGCAUUUGAAUAGGAAAUGUAAACAUGCUUUACAGGAACGGAAGUAGACACUUCAUAAUUCUGCAUGUGAACAGAACGUGUAAAUGAUGAUUACCGAAACUAAAGGUCAACACCACAUAACCCCACACAGGAGAAGCGUGUGUCAGUGAUGUUUACAUUAAGAUGGAGCGUUAGCGGUGUCCUUAUAGUGAGGAUUCCACUCUUAUGAUAAACAUGGUUAUAAUUUUACCAGCAUAUGAUGUAAUUACAAGUCGAGACCCAGUCCUGAUUGUGCUGUGUGUGAUAGAUUAGAUACAUGACAGUAUUUAAUGUCUGUACAUCAAUGACUAGGCCACGAAUAUGACACUCAUUAUGACACCCCCCGCAAAGGGCCUAUGCUACCAUACGUAGGUAUUCAUCAGCGGGAUGCAAGAAACGCGAUCAUUAUUGCUGACUUACCAAUUACAACUGUUCAUUGUGUGUAUCGUGUGAACAUUUAGCGAAGGGUGUAUGUGGGAUUUUCAAAGGUCACGAGAUCCAUUUAAGAAUAUGUACAUUGAUUUGGUUUCAUAUGUCACCGUUGGAUAUGUGCAGACACAGCUAGCGUGUGUUGUGUGGUGGUUCCUAUGCAGUUUGCCCCAUUAUCUGUUCGUGAGUGUCAUCAAAGUUGUAAAUGAAGAUCUCCUAUCGGAGACCAAUACCAUUUGUACUGUUCUUAUGGUGCUGUAAUGGCAUUGUCUCAAUGACAGACAUGCAUCACAUUAUUGUGUCUUGAACAGAGUUUAGCUUGGCGUUUUUCCACUCCUAUAAUUGUUUUAACUUACCUGUGUGUAGACAAUUGGCACGCAGCUCUUGAAGUCUGGUUCUGUUCUAAUCGACUUCUUGACUGUGUCAGUAGAUGUUUUCAAUAGACACAUGGUAACGUAAUUGUAACAAACUCCCAUGAACAGUCCAUUGGAACAGUCAACACGACAUCAUUUACCCUGAAAUGCGUGUAUAAUUCCUACAGAAUACGUAUUUCAAAUGACUUAGACUCAGAUCGGAUUUCAGAAGCGUUACUUAUAACUUCGGAAUAUCUAAAUGGGAAAGGUGACAUGUUAAUAAUCUACAAAUCUAACUAGGCGUAGUUGCUUAAAAGUUCUUCGUGUUGAAAACUACAUUUAAUAACUAUCACUUUCAGUUUUCUCCAGAUUAAUUUUCUAAAUAUCGUCUCGAACAUAGCAUCUCAUGCCUGUUAGACUGCAUAUGACAUCCAUCCGCCAGCGACUUUCAGCUUAAAGCAGCUGAACGCUGACACACAUUUCGGUCAUUCUACCAUAUUCUGUCACAACCAGGGGAUAACAACAGGUCAGCUUGUUGAAGUUUUCCAUAUUGUUGGAUUUAGAGUAUGGGUCGUAGUAGCCCAGGAUUAGCUGAAUUUUUAAUCUUUAAGCUGAAAGCUUACUUCCUUUAUCAAGUUGCAUCCCCCAGACAAAUAACGCGUUGACACGUACAAGUAUAAACUAAAAUGUCUAUGUUAAAUAAUAGAAGUUACCCCAUUCGUGCUUUUCGUUCAAAAGUUCGUGAUAUCUCUAUUGAUUCAUAUGUAUGAUAUGCUGACGUCCUGCAUUGAGAAUUGCAAUGAUCAGUUAUGCAAUUGGUGGAUAGUGUAAAUGUAUUUUGAACUGGCGUUCAAUCCACCAGAUAUGUUUUCCUUAAUUGGUGGAUAGUGUAAUUGCAUGCCGAAAUACAUCUGAAUAGGAAACUGGUGUACAAUCCACUAGAUUUGUUUUUCUUAAUAGCCCAUUAAUAAUUGCUAAAAGCCUAUUAAUUUAAGCUUUUCUCAACUCCAUGUUCAUUAGGACAACUCUGUAUGUCCACCUGUGUAGAUUUCCUCUCGUAUGUGGCUGUGAUGUACAGAAUGAUUACCGCACUCAUGCCUAUCAAAUACCAUUUAUCUAACAACGAGUUGUUUCAAAACGUAUCUAACGAGCGAAAGCGAAACACCGAGCGCUAAAACAACUGGCAUAUCACAGACACGAAUGCAGUAAUCUGUUUCUUACAGACUCUAAACUCAUAUAUUUCGUCGAUUCUCAUCAUCACAGUGGCGCAUUAUUAUAAAGUACAACAGACAUUUAUGACGCCAUCUGACUGCUUACUACUUAUAACUAAUGUGAUACUCCACACUAACGUCCAGUUAAUCUAUAUCAUAAAGUAGAUGAGACCACAGAAGAUGUAAUCGCAACAUAAAGCCAUACAUUUUCAACACAGACAAAAAGGUAUCAGUACAUUGCAUUCUGGAAAGUACUUCAUCAUUGCGCAACUACCCACGGACCAGGAUUGAUUCCCAAACACAUGUUUAAUACCAGUUAUCUCACAAUGGUUUCUCACCCGUAGGCGUGUAAACAAUGUUAUUCUGGAACUGCAUUUAAAUUACCGGCUCGAGUAUGACUUUGGCGCAGUAGUUCUGUGUAGUAUUAUGAUGUUUUAUUGCUCAUUGAGGAACAUUGUGAUAAUGUUUUGCCAUGUGUUCACGUCCAACCUUUUAGGGUCAAAUGGAUGUUUUCAAUUUUUCAUUGUUUGAAAGUUUGUUGCAGUAUCGAUAUUUUUUAAUGCAUUUUAUAAUACUCCUUGUGUAUAAUAGGGUCAUACUAUGCUAUUGUUUUAUCUCCCAAUUAGCCAUUUAUGACAUCUUUAUGUGAUACCAGUUUUGUUGAUUCGAGCAGGCACAUGAUGUAAUGGUUGUGAAUGUGACACAAUAAAUGUUUCUUUACCUAA